CUACGGGAGGCAGCAGUGGGGAAUCUUAGACAAUGGGGGAAACCCUGAUCUAGCCAUGCCGCGUGAGUGAUGAAGGCCCUAGGGUCGUAAAGCUCUUUCGCCAGGGAUGAUAAUGACAGUACCUGGUAAAGAAACCCCGGCUAACUCCGUGCCAGCAGCCGCGGUAAUACGGAGGGGGUUAGCGUUGUUCGGAAUUACUGGGCGUAAAGCGCGCGUAGGCGGACUAGAAAGUUGGGGGUGAAAUCCCGGGGCUCAACCCCGGAACUGCCUCCAAAACUACUAGUCUAGAGUUCGAGAGAGGUGAGUGGAAUUCCGAGUGUAGAGGUGAAAUUCGUAGAUAUUCGGAGGAACACCAGUGGCGAAGGCGGCUCACUGGCUCGAUACUGACGCUGAGGUGCGAAAGUGUGGGGAGCAAACAGGAUUAGAUACCCUGGUAGUCCACACCGUAAACGAUGAAUGCCAGUCGUCGGGGCGCUUGCGCUUCGGUGACACACCUAACGGAUUAAGCAUUCCGCCUGGGGAGUACGGUCGCAAGAUUAAAACUCAAAGGAAUUGACGGA
RNAcentral lists this ribosomal RNA (560 nucleotides) under uncultured bacterium. RNAcentral describes it as "bacterial SSU rRNA". It matches the Rfam family "Bacterial small subunit ribosomal RNA", at positions 339 to 917 of the family's 1533-position model. The record is from RNAcentral.